This is a long non-coding RNA of Carassius gibelio (silver crucian carp), 2211 nucleotides long. RefSeq lists it as uncharacterized. The transcript has 2 exons. Lineage: Eukaryota; Metazoa; Chordata; Actinopteri; Cypriniformes; Cyprinidae. The record is from RefSeq and is a predicted model, not a curated record.
CGAGGGCUCCAAACACGACAAAGCGCGCUUAAAACGAGGUUAGCGGCUCCUGGAGUUGUAUUCGGAAAUUAAACUGUGGUAGAUAAACGGAUAAUGUUUUUCCCCGAGUCACAGGACGGGAAAUUCGGGUUUGUUUACCCGACGGUUGGUAGGAUGAGGCGCUGGUUAGCUCUUACCUGUCGCUGCUUGUGUGUGGAACUGGUGGUGGAACAAGGGGAGGGUUGAAUGUUAGCCAGCACUGCGCCGCCGGUCCAGGGCACGGGCGCUCCAGUCCCCGCAGAGCUGAGAGACUUCCCCCCGCCUCCAUCUCUCUCGCUCUCCUUCCAGUCAGCGCGCAGCUCUCUCGAUCCGCUCAUUUCUCUUUCCAGAGAGACAUCCGCAUUUUCAAUCUCUCCGCUGCUAUAGCUGCUCUCAUCACGAAUGGGUCGCCUGGGUCUCGCUUCCAUUUGGAUUAUAAACUCGGCGCUCUCAAACCUGCAUGCGCAUGUAGCCUCUCGGGCUUGUUUUGAACACAUUUUGUGUAGCCGUGAUGACCAUAUGAAGUUUUUAUAAAUAGUGAAUUUGAUUGAAUAUGUUCCAGAGUGAUUUCUGUUUUGAUUUAUGCUUUUAAAUAAAGAAAGAAAAGCAGUUUUCUUGAAUUCACUCAAACUCCCCACGUGCAUGCAUGAUGUUAGAAGUGAGCUACUGUUGUGUACUUUAAACAUCUUUUUGGUAUAUUCAGUCUGACAGCUACAUCUUUUUGUCUCGUUAAAUAAUUAAACUCCACCUUGUGUGUUUGUGGGCGUCACCUGCGCGGUCCAAUCAAGACGUUCUGAUUUGGGGAAAACAUGAUUUUCCAAUGAGCGCGCUGAUUCGUUAAACAUCAGAGCAGUGACGUGCGCAUUUUAUUGGGAUGCCACAGUCCAGCAGCGAUCGAGAGCGCCUGCCUCCGGAAACAACACACCGGCCAGUGCUUUCCAAGCCUCUGGCUGUUAUAGUACUACAGACCUAUCGGUAACGUUACAUCUGCACUGCCACCAAACCAAAAAUCAACUCACUAGAUAUUUGAAAUCAUUUAGCACUGUCAAUACAAACUAUUCACCCAAUCAGUACUUAAACUGUUGCAGGAUCUCCCUUCAAUAAAACACAUGAUCUAGUUUUUUUUUUUUUUUUCAAGUUUUGAUACUAAGGAAAUUUAUUUAUGAUUAUUAAAACUGUUUUCAACACUGAUAAUAAUAAAUAUUUCCUGAGCAUCAAAUCAGCAUUAUUAGAAUGAUUUCUGAUUUCUCAUGUUGGAUGGCUGAACAUAUAUGAUAUACAAAUGUUUUAAAUUAAAAGUAAUUUUCAAUUUUAAUAUUUCACACAAUUACACCUUUUACUGUUAAUUAUCUGAAUGAAUACAUUGGUAUUUCAAAACAAUAAAAUAAAAAUCAUAUACUAACUUCUACUCUGAAUUGUAAAGUAUGUAUACUACUCGUGGAGAAAAAAAAAUAAUUAAAAAGGGAUUAUUUUAACCUUUUGAUAACACUACAUUUGAAGUCUUUCUACAUUUUCUGCAAAAAAAAAGGUCCUCUUAAAGUAUCCUUGGUUGUGAAUCACUGUUUUAGUUUUCUUCUUUUUUAAUUUUCAGUAAAGCAGGUCCGUCUUUAACGUGUAAGGAAGGUGGUAGGACUCUCAGAAUGGGCUGGAAACUUGAGAAGGUGGGUGGAGGGUUCUUGCCAGGGUGGGCCAAGCUCAUGAUUGGGUGGGACAGUCCCGCACAGGCCUCCUGUGAAGUCAAGCCUGCUGAAAAAUUGGAUUUGUUUGCAAGCUCCCAGGACUAAUUUAGGACACAAAUGUAAGGUUUUCUUUACUAAGAAUUAUUGUAGAUGUUUUAAAGAAUUUUAAUCAUUAAACACACAUAAUCACACACCAUAACAGACCAAGCAUACAUAAAACCAAAUAUUCAUUUAUACUCUAAAGUAGCAAAUCUUUGCAAUAGUAACUUAUGCUAACAUUCUGUAUUUGUAAGCCUAUAAUAUUUACAGGUAUGGUGUCCCUGAAACAUUGAAAUUCUAUAUAAAGGCACAUUUUGCAUAGGCAUCAUCUGUUAAAACAGGAUAGGAUUUACAAUCAGGCUGGUGUGUAGCUGACAUGCUUCACAGUGACAUGAGAUUUCUUGCAUGACACCUUGAAUACAUAAAACAAAUAAACACCAGGAUGUAUAGAUCCCAAAUGAAAAACAAAAACAAA